UACGUAGGGGGCGAGCGUUGUCCGGAUUUAUUGGGCGUAAAGAGCGCGCAGGCGGCUGGUCAAGUCCGAUGUGAAAUCUCCCGGCUCAACUGGGAAACUGCAUCGGAAACUGAUCGGCUUGAAGAUGGGAGAGGGUAGUGGAAUUCCCGGUGUAGUGGUGAAAUGCGUAGAUAUCGGGAGGAACACCAGUGGCGAAGGCGACUACCUGGCCCAUUCUUGACGCUGAGGCGCGAAAGCUAGGGGAGCGAACGGG
Molecule: ribosomal RNA, 253 nt
Filed under: uncultured bacterium
Lineage: Bacteria
Description: partial 16S ribosomal RNA
Rfam family: Bacterial small subunit ribosomal RNA
Source: RNAcentral